RNAcentral lists this ribosomal RNA (253 nucleotides) under uncultured bacterium. RNAcentral's name for it is "partial 16S ribosomal RNA". It matches the Rfam family "Bacterial small subunit ribosomal RNA", at positions 524 to 776 of the family's 1533-position model. The record is from RNAcentral.
CACGUAGGGCGCAAGCGUUGUCCGGAAUUAUUGGGCGUAAAGAGCUCGUAGGCGGUCUGUUACGUCUUCUGUGAAAACCCGGGGCUUAACCCUGGGCUUGCAGUGGAUACGGGCAGACUAGAGGCAGGUAGGGGAGAAUGGAAUUCCCGGUGUAGCGGUGAAAUGCGCAGAUAUCGGGAGGAACACCGGUGGCGAAGGCGGUUCUCUGGGCCUGUACUGACGCUGAGGAGCGAAAGCGUGGGGAGCGAACAGG